Molecule: ribosomal RNA, 409 nt
Filed under: uncultured bacterium
Lineage: Bacteria
Description: bacterial SSU rRNA
Rfam family: Bacterial small subunit ribosomal RNA
Source: RNAcentral
AGCAGUGGGGAAUUUUGGACAAUGGGCGCAAGCCUGAUCCAGCAAUGCCGCGUGAGUGAAGAAGGCCUUCGGGUUGUAAAGCUCUUUUGUCAGGGAAGAAACGGUGAGGGCUAAUAUCUCUUGCUAAUGACGGUACCUGAAGAAUAAGCACCGGCUAACUACGUGCCAGCAGCCGCGGUAAUACGUAGGGUGCAAGCGUUAAUCGGAAUUACUGGGCGUAAAGCGUGCGCAGGCGGUUUUGUAAGUUUGUCGUGAAAGCCCCGGGCUCAACCUGGGAAUUGCGAUGAAGACUGCAAGGCUUGAAUCUGGCAGAGGGGGGUAGAAUUCCACGUGUAGCAGUGAAAUGCGUAGAGAUGUGGAGGAACACCGAUGGCGAACGCAGCCCCCUGGGUCAAGAUUGACGCUCAUG